RNAcentral lists this long non-coding RNA (416 nucleotides) under Parus major (Great Tit). Its description in RNAcentral is "lncRNA (ENSPMJG00000005363.1)". Lineage: Eukaryota; Metazoa; Chordata; Aves; Passeriformes; Paridae. The record is from RNAcentral.
GUUACCUCACCCUGGUAGAACCACAGGAUUGUGUGUUUGGAACCUGAUACAGCUCACUGAUGGCAUUUACUCUCUUAAGGCUUUCCAGCAUCAAACCCCUGGGAACAAUGGAUAAGAUACAAAAGUGGAGUGCAGAGAUAAUUUAAGCUGCUCAGGAGAGCUGCUGACCUUCACUGCUGCCUUCUGGAAGUUUUUGUGUGCCAACAGCCCUGAGGGAGACCCUGAGCACCCUGUGCUUGGAAAGAGGAGGUGCAGAGGCAACGCCCAGAAAUGUCAGAGCUCUGCAGAGGAUUGGAGCAGGGGACCUACAUGUCCCAAAACAGCUUUACAGAGGAUGUGCCAGUCUGGGGAUCAAUCUCUGCCUCAGAAGAAGGUAGGAGAAAUCAUAUUUACCCUGCAGAGAGCAGCACCUGCUC